Molecule: ribosomal RNA, 514 nt
Filed under: uncultured bacterium
Lineage: Bacteria
Description: partial 16S ribosomal RNA
Rfam family: Bacterial small subunit ribosomal RNA
Source: RNAcentral
GAUGAACGCUGGCGGCGUGCCUAAUACAUGCAAGUCGAGCGAACAGAUGAGAAGCUUGCUUCUCUGAUGUUAGCGGCGGACGGGUGAGUAACACGUGGGUAACCUACCUAUAAGACUGGGAUAACUCCGGGAAACCGGGGCUAAUACCGGAUAAUAUUUUGAACCGCAUGGUUCAAUAGUGAAAGACGGUUUCGGCUGUCACUUAUAGAUGGACCUGCGUCGUAUUAGCUAGUUGGUAAGGUAACGGCUUACCAAGGCGACGAUACGUAGCCGACCUGAGAGGAUGAUCGGCCACACUGGAACUGAGACACGGUCCAGACUCCUACGGGAGGCAGCAGUAGGGAAUCUUCCACAAUGGGCGAAAGCCUGACGGAGCCACGCCGCGUGAGUGAUGAAGGCCUUCGGAUCGUAAAACUCUGUUGUUAGGGAAGAACAAAUUUGUUAGUAACUGAACAAGUCUUGACGGUACCUAACCAGAAAGCCACGGCUAACUACGUGCCAGCCGCCGCCGUAA